RNAcentral lists this ribosomal RNA (253 nucleotides) under uncultured bacterium. RNAcentral's name for it is "partial 16S ribosomal RNA". It matches the Rfam family "Bacterial small subunit ribosomal RNA", at positions 524 to 776 of the family's 1533-position model. The record is from RNAcentral.
UACGGAGGGAGCUAGCGUUGUUCGGAAUUACUGGGCGUAAAGCGCACGUAGGCGGCUUUGUAAGUUAGAGGUGAAAGCCCGGGGCUCAACUCCGGAACUGCCUUUAAGACUGCAUCGCUUGAAUCCGGGAGAGGUGAGUGGAAUUCCGAGUGUAGAGGUGAAAUUCGUAGAUAUUCGGAGGAACACCAGUGGCGAAGGCGGCUCACUGGUCCAUUACUGACGCUGAGGUGCGAAAGCGUGGGGAGCAAACAGG